Oncorhynchus keta (chum salmon) is the source of this 3611-nucleotide long non-coding RNA. RefSeq lists it as uncharacterized. NCBI's taxonomy places the organism in Eukaryota, Metazoa, Chordata, Actinopteri, Salmoniformes, Salmonidae. The record is from RefSeq and is a predicted model, not a curated record. The transcript is spliced from 5 exons.
GGAGAAAUAGAGAGAGAGAGAGAGAGAGAGAGGGACAGAGAAAGUGCCAGUGAGAGCAGCAGGCACCCAGGCAGCUGGGCCAACUCAUCCAGCAGCUCCUCAGAGAAAAUCACCUCUAAUUGAAAAGCCUGCUCAUUAACCCAGUGGGUGUGCAGAGGCAAAUGCCUUCAACGUGUCACAGGCUGGGAACAGAGAACCGCUGUGCUUUGGCUUUGAAACACACACACACACAAUCAUGACGGCUGUCAAUGUAUAUGGAAACAGCCUUAAUACCACUGCUGAGACUAACACGCUGGGACUGGCACAGCCAUAAACAGCCCUCCUGUGUGGUAGGACUGCCAGGGUCUCAUUAUCAGUGGAGCAGUAUGUUACAGGUUGACUCCAUUCUGGAUCAAACAUGGGACCUGGGCUCUCCAAGGGCUAUUUCUCUAUUAUUUUGGCCAGUCAAUGUCUGCAACUGCCCUGGCUGUCUGCCUCUGGCUCUCCCUGUCCCUCCAUGUAAGGUGACAUUUAUAUCCCUGAUUUGUGCUGUGAGAGGUUGUGUCCUAUCAUGCAAGGCAAGAUCUAAUAGAGGCUUUUGUGUCCAUCAGAUGGCCUUGUCCCUCUGUGUUCCCUCUACACUAUGCCUCUUGAGCGCAGACACACACACACACACGUUUCUAUAUCUUACUAUACUUUGGGGACCAACAGUUGAUUCCCAUUCAAAAUCAUAUUUUCCCUAACCCUAAUUCCUAAACCUAACCACUAAAAAACUCCUAACCCUAAUUUUAACCCUAAACCUAACCCCUAAACCUGAAAUUGCCUUUUUACAAGGGAGGACUUCAGAAUUUUGGGGGGGUUUACUAUUAUUGUGAGCAUUUCUGGUACUCACACGUAUAGUACCAAUUGUGUGUACACACACACACACACACUGAACAAACACACAAAUACACACACACACACCAAAGACAAAGGUGGAUGGUAGAGAAGGAGACAGUGACAGGAAGGAGAGGUGGAGGGAAAGGAAGAUGGUAGAGAAGGAGACAGUGACAGGAAGGAGAGGUGGAGGGAAAGGAAGAUGGUAGAGAAGGAGACAGUGACAGGAAGGAGAGGUGGAGGGAAAGGAAGAUGGUAGAGAAGGAGACAGUGACAGGAAGGAGAGGUGGAGGGAAAGGAAGAUGGUAGAGAAGGAGACAGUGACAGGAAGGAGAGGUGGAGGGAAAGGAAGAUGGUAGAGAAGGAGACAGUGACAGGAAGGAGAGGUGGAGGGAAAGGAAGAUGGUAGAGAAGGAGACAGUGACAGGAAGGAGAGGUGGAGGGAAAGGAAGAUGGUAGAGAAGGAGACAGUGACAGGAAGGAGAGGUGGAGGGAAAGGAAGAUGGUAGAGAAGGAGACAGUGACAGGAAGGAGAGGUGGAGGGAAAGGAAGAUGGUAGAGAAGGAGACAGUGACAGGAAGGAGAGGUGGAGGGAAAGGAAGAUGGUAGAGAAGGAGACAGUGACAGGAAGGAGAGGUGGAGGGAAAGGAAGAUGGUAGAGAAGGAGACAGUGACAGGAAGGAGAGGUGGAGGGAAAGGAAGAUGGUAGAGAAGGAGACCAGCAGACCAGAGACCAAGAGUAGGCCCGUUGUCUACAAUGACCCAGGCCUUACUUACACAGGUCUCAGUGGUUUUCAGAAAUUCUUCCAAUAUGUAUCCCACAUUUUCCAGUUGUGAUGAAGAGUUGAUGCGGAUGCAAAUGUAUUUAAAUGUUGAUAAAGUACUAUGGUAUACACAGACAGUGAUCUACUUAGUCUUUUUGGGAGCAUGUUUGGACUCAAGUGGCUGUAUAGAUAGAGUGCUCCACCCUCUCGGUUUAGGAGUUGACAGCCUCUCCAUACUGGCUGCAUUUCAACCUAUUUCUCCAUUAGUUCAAAGGCUAUGUGAUGUUGCCUCACACCUGGAAGGAGAUAGCGGUGGGUUGUGCUCUCAAAGCACAGCCCGUCUGUCUGAUGGAGAGUACAGAUUAGAGGCCCCCUGUUCUGUUUUGAUCUACACAGUGGACAGUGCUCUUUAGUAUGUGGAGUGGUAGAUGGAUGGAUGCGCCAAUUGAGGCCUGCUAUGCCUUAGUGCCUUCAGAAAUAGACGGUGUGAAAUGCACCAUUAGCUGGACCCAGAGUCAUCUGAAAUAUCCCUGGUGUGUAUAUACAGUAUAAUGCUUUGUAGUGACUGGCUGGUUUUUUCUCUCCAUCAUAUCUGUCUGUCCAAAAACAUAACAAAAUGCAUUGGUACUUUUGUUAAAACAGAGAUAACUUUGUGGUAGACGUACACACCUGGCCAGACAUCCCUCUCCCUGAAAGCUGUUUUUAUCAGCAAAGGCUAUUUGCUCUUCAGCACCGUCCCACUGUUAAUAAUAGCUGAGGAUAAGUAAGCCAUUUGAAUAGGACUGAUAUAUUAACACUGAGAAAUCACAACAGUCACGUAACAAAUAAUGUAUUAACACUGGGAAAUCAUAACAGUCACAUAAUAGAUAAUGUAUUAACACUGGGAAAUCAUAACAGUCACAUAAUAAAUAAUGUGUUAACACUGAGAAAUCACAACAGUCACAUAAUAAAUAAUGUAUUAACACUGGGAAAUCAUAACAGUCACAUAAUAGAUAAUGUAUUAACACUGGGAAAUCAUAACAGUCACAUAAUAAAUAAUGUAUUAGCACUGGGAAAUCAACAGUCACAUAAUAGAUAAUGUAUUAACACUGGGAAAUCAUAACAGUCACAUAAUAGAUAAUGUAUUAACACUGGGAAAUCAUAACAGUCACAUAAUAAAUAAUGUAUUAGCACUGGGAAAUCAACAGUCACAUAAUAGAUAAUGUAUUAACACUGGGAAAUCAUAACAGUCACAUAAUAAAUAAUGUAUUAACACAGGGAAAUCAUAACAGUCACAUAAUAGAUCAUGUAUUAACACUGGGAAAUCACAACAGUCACGUAACAAAUAAUGUAUUAACACUGGGAAAUCACAACAGUCACGUAACAAAUAAUGUAUUAACACUGGGAAAUCAUAACAGUCACAUAAUAGAUAAUGUAUUAACACUGGGAAAUCAUAACAGUCACAUAAUAGAUCAUGUAUUAACACUGGGAAAUCACAACAGUCACAAUAGAUAAUGUAUUAACACUGGGAAAUCACAACAGUCACAAUAGAUAAUGUAUUAACACUGGGAAAUCACAACAGUCACAAUAUAUAAUGUAUUAACACUGGGAAAUCACAACAGUCACAAUAGAUCAUGUAUUAACACUGGGAAAUCACAACAGUCACAAUAGAUAAUGUAUUAACACUGGGAAAUCACAACAGUCACAAUAGAUAAUGUAUUGACACUGGGAAAUCACAACAGUCACAAUAGAUAAUGUAUUAACACUGGGAAAUCAUAACAGUCACAUAAUAGAUCAUGUAUUAACACUGGGAAAUCACAACAGUCACAAUAGAUCAUGUAUUAACACUGGGAAAUCACAACAGUCACAAUAGAUCAUGUAUUAACACUGGGAAAUCACAACAGUCACAAUAGAUAAUGUAUUAACACUGGGAAAUCACAACAGUCACAAUAGAUAAUGUAUUAACACUGGGAAAUCACAACAGUCACAAUAGAUCAUGUAUUAACACUGAGA